GAUCCUGGCUCAGGACGAACGCUGGCGGCGCGCCUAACACAUGCAAGUCGAACGAGCGAGAGAGAGCUUGCUUUCUCGAGCGAGUGGCGAACGGGUGAGUAACGCGUGAGGAACCUGCCUCAAAGAGGGGGACAACAGUUGGAAACGACUGCUAAUACCGCAUAAGCCCACGACCCGGCAUCGGGUUGAGGGAAAAGGAGCAAUCCGCUUUGAGAUGGCCUCGCGUCCGAUUAGCUGGUUGGUG
RNAcentral lists this ribosomal RNA (244 nucleotides) under uncultured bacterium. Its description in RNAcentral is "partial 16S ribosomal RNA". It matches the Rfam family "Bacterial small subunit ribosomal RNA", at positions 15 to 254 of the family's 1533-position model. The record is from RNAcentral.